Molecule: ribosomal RNA, 206 nt
Filed under: uncultured bacterium
Lineage: Bacteria
Description: partial 16S ribosomal RNA
Rfam family: Bacterial small subunit ribosomal RNA
Source: RNAcentral
CUCAGUUCGGAUCGGAGUCUGNAACCCGACUCCGUGAAGCUGGAUUCGCUAGUAAUCGCGCAUCAGCCAUGGCGCGGUGAAUACGUUCCCGGGCCUUGUACACACCGCCCGUCAAGCCAUGGGAGCCGGGGGUGCUUGAAGUGCGUCGCCGCAAGGCGCGCCCUAGAGCAAAACCGGUGACUGGGGCUAAGUCGUAACAAGGUAAC